ACUCCUACGGGAGGCAGCAGUGGGAAUAUUGCACAAUGGGGAAAGCCAUCGAUGCAGCCAUGCCGCGUGUGUGAAGAAGGCCUUCGGGUUGUAAAGCACUUUCAGCGAGGAGGAAAGGUUGGCAGCUAAUACCUGUCAGCUGUGACGUUACUCGCAGAAGAAGCACCGGCUAACUCCGUGCCAGCAGCCGCGGUAAUACGGAGGGUGCAAGCGUUAAUCGGAAUUACUGGGCGUAAAGCGCGUGUAGGUGGCUUGUUAAGCCAGAUGUG
This 269-nucleotide ribosomal RNA is filed under the name uncultured bacterium. Its description in RNAcentral is "partial 16S ribosomal RNA". It matches the Rfam family "Bacterial small subunit ribosomal RNA", at positions 335 to 596 of the family's 1533-position model. The record is from RNAcentral.